UACGUAGGGUGCAAGCGUUGUCCGGAAUUAUUGGGCGUAAAGAGCUCGUAGGCGGUUUGUCGCGUCUGCUGUGAAAUCUGGGGGCUCAACCCCGGACUUGCAGUGGGUACGGGCAGACUAGAGUGUGGUAGGGGAGACUGGAAUUCCUGGUGUAGCGGUGGAAUGCGCAGAUAUCAGGAGGAACACCGAUGGCGAAGGCAGGUCUCUGGGCCACUACUGACGCUGAGAAGCGAAAGCAUGGGGAGCGAACAGG
This 253-nucleotide ribosomal RNA is filed under the name uncultured bacterium. RNAcentral describes it as "partial 16S ribosomal RNA". It matches the Rfam family "Bacterial small subunit ribosomal RNA", at positions 524 to 776 of the family's 1533-position model. The record is from RNAcentral.